UUCCGUGCCAGCCCCCGCGGUAAUACGGGAGUGUCACGCGUUAUCCGGAAUUAGUGGGCGUAAAGCGUCCGCAGGCGGUUUUGUAAGUCUGCUGUCAAAGCGUGGAGCUCAACUCCAUUUCGGCAGUGGAAACUACGAGGCUUGAGUGUGGUAGGGGCAGAGGGAAUUCCCGGUGUAGCGGUGAAAUGCGUAGAUAUCGGGAAGAACACCGGUGGCGAAGGCGCUCUGCUGGGCCAUAACUGACGCUCAUGGACAAAAGCCAGGGGAGCGAAAGGGAUUAUAUACCCCUGUAGUCCUGGCCGUAAACGAUGAACACUAGGUGUCGGGGGAAUCGACCCCCUCGGUGUCGUAGCCAACGCGUUAAGUGUUCCGCCUGGGGAGUACGCACGCAAGUGUGAAACUC
This 403-nucleotide ribosomal RNA is filed under the name uncultured bacterium. Its description in RNAcentral is "bacterial SSU rRNA". It matches the Rfam family "Bacterial small subunit ribosomal RNA", at positions 501 to 902 of the family's 1533-position model. The record is from RNAcentral.